GACGAACGCUGGCGGCGUGCUUAACACAUGCAAGUCGAACGUAAAGGCCCUGCUUUUGUGGGGUGCUCGAGUGGCGAACGGGUGAGUAACACGUGAGUAACCUGCCCUUGACUUUGGGAUAACUUCAGGAAACUGGGGCUAAUACCGGAUAGGAGCUCCUGCUGCAUGGUGGGGGUUGGAAAGUUUCGGCGGUUGGGGAUGGACUCGCGGCUUAUCAGCUUGUUGGUGGGGUAAUGGCUUACCAAGGCUUUGACGGGUAGCCGGCCUGAGAGGGUGACCGGCCACAUUGGGACUGAGAUACGGCCCAGACUCCUACGGGAGGCAGCAGUGGGGAAUAUUGCACAAUGGGCGGAAGCCUGAUGCAGCAACGCCGCGUGCGGGAUGACGGCCUUCGGGUUGUAAACCGCUUUCGCCUGUGACGAAGCGUGAGUGACGGUAAUGGGUAAAGAAGCACCGGCUAACUACGUG
This 468-nucleotide ribosomal RNA is filed under the name uncultured bacterium. Its description in RNAcentral is "partial 16S ribosomal RNA". It matches the Rfam family "Bacterial small subunit ribosomal RNA", at positions 28 to 507 of the family's 1533-position model. The record is from RNAcentral.